RNAcentral lists this ribosomal RNA (274 nucleotides) under uncultured bacterium. RNAcentral describes it as "partial 16S ribosomal RNA". It matches the Rfam family "Bacterial small subunit ribosomal RNA", at positions 523 to 796 of the family's 1533-position model. The record is from RNAcentral.
AUACGGAGGGUGCAAGCGUUACUCGGAAUCAUUGGGCGUAAAGCGCGCGCAGGCGGCUUGAUAAGUUGGAUGUGAAAGCCUACGGCUCAACCGUAGAACUGCAUCCAAAACUGUCAAGCUAGAGUCUGGGAGGGGAAGAUGGAAUUAGUUGUGUAGGGGUAAAAUCCGUAGAGAUAACUAGGAAUACCAAAAGCGAAGGCAAUCUUCUGGAACACUACUGACGCUGAGGCGCGAAGGCGUGGGGAGCAAACAGGAUUAGAAACCCCAGUAGUCC